This 253-nucleotide ribosomal RNA is filed under the name uncultured bacterium. RNAcentral describes it as "partial 16S ribosomal RNA". It matches the Rfam family "Bacterial small subunit ribosomal RNA", at positions 524 to 776 of the family's 1533-position model. The record is from RNAcentral.
UACGUAGGGUGCAAGCGUUGUCCGGAAUUAUUGGGCGUAAAGAGCUCGUAGGCGGUCUGUCGCGUCGAAUGUGAAAACCCGGGGCUCAACCCCAAGUCUGCAGUGGAUACGGGCAGACUAGAGUCAGGUAGGGGAGAACGGAAUUCCUGGUGUAGCGGUGAAAUGCGCAGAUAUCAGGAGGAACACCGGUGGCGAAGGCGGUUCUCUGGGCCUGUACUGACGCUGAGGAACGAAAGCGUGGGGAGCGAACAGG